RNAcentral lists this non-coding RNA (90 nucleotides) under Priestia endophytica. RNAcentral describes it as "Bacillus endophyticus Glycine sequence". It matches the Rfam family "Glycine riboswitch aptamer". Rfam says of the family: This family represents the bacterial glycine riboswitch. Glycine riboswitches usually consist of two metabolite-binding aptamers domains with similar structures in tandem. The aptamers cooperatively bind glycine to regulate the expression of downstream genes. Lineage: Bacteria; Bacillati; Bacillota; Bacilli; Caryophanales; Bacillaceae. The record is from Rfam by way of RNAcentral.
AUGAAAACAAAGGGAGAGACUAUUAUGUUGUAGCGCCGAAGGAGCAAGCGAAUGAGCGAAUCUCUCAGGCAAAAAGACCUUUGUUUGACG